GACGAACGCUGGCGGCGUGCUUAACACAUGCAAGUCGAACGGAAAGGCCCUGCUUUUGUGGGGUGCUCGAGUGGCGAACGGGUGAGUAACACGUGAGUAACCUGCCCUUGACUUUGGGAUAACUUCAGGAAACUGGGGCUAAUACCGGAUAGGAGCUCCUGCUGCAUGGUGGGGGUUGGAAAGUUUCGGCGGUUGGGGAUGGACUCGCGGCUUAUCAGCUUGUUGGUGGGGUAGUGGCUUAUCAAGGCUUUGACGGGUAGCCGGCCUGAGAGGGUGACCGGCCACAUUGGGACUGAGAUACGGCCCAGACUCCUACGGGAGGCAGCAGUGGGGAAUAUUGCACAAUGGGCGGAAGCCUGAUGCAGCAACGCCGCGUGCGGGAUGACGGCCUUCGGGUUGUAAACCGCUUUCGCCUGUGACGAAGCGUGAGUGACGGUAAUGGGUAAAGAAGCACCGGCUAACUACGU
RNAcentral lists this ribosomal RNA (467 nucleotides) under uncultured bacterium. RNAcentral describes it as "partial 16S ribosomal RNA". It matches the Rfam family "Bacterial small subunit ribosomal RNA", at positions 28 to 506 of the family's 1533-position model. The record is from RNAcentral.